RNAcentral lists this ribosomal RNA (1110 nucleotides) under uncultured cyanobacterium. RNAcentral's name for it is "bacterial SSU rRNA". It matches the Rfam family "Bacterial small subunit ribosomal RNA", at positions 389 to 1514 of the family's 1533-position model. The record is from RNAcentral. Lineage: Bacteria; Bacillati; Cyanobacteriota.
GAGCAACGCCGCGUGAGGGAUGAAGGCCUCUGGGCUGUAAACCUCUUUUAUCAAGGAAGAAGAUCUGACGGUACUUGAUGAAUAAGCCACGGCCAAUUCCGUGCCAGCAGCCGCGGUAAUACGGGAGUGGCAAGCGUUAUCCGGAAUUAUUGGGCGUAAAGCGUCCGCAGGCGGUCUUACAAGUCUGUCGUUAAAGCGUGGAGCUUAACUCCAUUUCGGCGAUGGAAACUGUAAGGCUAGAGUGUGGUAGGGGCAGAGGGAAUUCCCGGUGUAGCGGUGAAAUGCGUAGAUAUCGGGAAGAACACCAGUGGCGAAGGCGCUCUGCUGGGCCAUAACUGACGCUCAUGGACGAAAGCUAGGGGAGCGAAAGGGAUUAGAUACCCCUGUAGUCCUAGCCGUAAACGAUGAACACUAGGUGUCGGGGGAAUCGACCCCCUCGGUGUCGUAGCCAACGCGUUAAGCGUUCCGCCUGGGGAGUACGCACGCAAGUGUGAAACUCGAAGGAAUUGACGGGGGCCCGCACAAGCGGUGGAGUAUGUGGUUUAAUUCGAUGCAACGCGAAGAACCUUACCAGGGUUUGACAUCCUGCGAAUCCCUUGGAAACUUGGGAGUGCCUUCGGGAGCGCAGUGACAGGUGGUGCAUGGCUGUCGUCAGCUCGUGUCGUGAGAUGUUGGGUUAAGUCCCGCAACGAGCGCAACCCACGUCUUUAGUUGCCAGCAUUCAGUUGGGCACUCUAGAUAGACCGCCGGUGAUAAACCGGAGGAAGGUGUGGAUGACGUCGAGUCAUCAUGCCCCUUACAUCCUGGGCUACACACGUACUACAAUGCUACGGACAAAGGGCAGCAAACUCGCGAGAGCUAGCCAAUCCCAUAAACCGUGGAUCAGUUCAGAUCGUAGGCUGCAACUCGCCUACGUGAAGGAGGAAUCGCUAGUAAUCGCAGGUCAGCAUACUGCGGUGAAUACGUUCCCGGGCCUUGUACACACCGCCCGUCACACCAUGGAAGUUGGCCACGCCCGAAGUCGUUACUCCAACCCUUGUGGAGGAGGAUGCCGAAGGUGGGGCUGAUGACUGGGGUGAAGUCGUAACAAGGUAGCCGUACCGGAAGGUG